RNAcentral lists this ribosomal RNA (484 nucleotides) under uncultured bacterium. RNAcentral's name for it is "partial 16S ribosomal RNA". It matches the Rfam family "Bacterial small subunit ribosomal RNA", at positions 30 to 507 of the family's 1533-position model. The record is from RNAcentral.
AUUGAACGCUGGCGGCAGGCCUAACACAUGCAAGUCGAACGGCUGAACGGAGCUUGCUCCUGGAUUCGGGGGCGGACGGGUGAGGGGUGCCUAAGAAUCUGCCAGGCUGCGGGGUCUUACGUGCGAACACGGGGAAAAUUACGCCAAUAGUCCAGAGGGCGUACGUGUGGGAUCAUGGGACCUCACGCUAUCAGGUGAGCGGAGGUGGGAUUCUCUAGUUGGCGGGGGAGAGGCGUACCAAGGCGACGAUCCGUAACUGGUCUGAGAGGAUGAUCAGACACACUGGAACUGAGACACGGUCCAGACGCCUACGGGAGGCAGCAGUGGUGAAUAUUGGACAAUGGGCGAAAGCCUGAUCCAGCCAUGCCGCGUGGGUGAAGAAGGUCUUCGGAUUGUAAAGCACUUUUAGUGGGAAGGAAGGGCAGCAGGUUAAUACCUUGCUGUUUUGACGGUACCAACAGAAUAAGCACCGGCUAACUUCGUG